UGCGGUGUGGCUCAGCGGCAGAGCAGGUGCUUAACCUGUGUGAGGUCCUGGGUUCCAUCCCCAGCACUGCCA
RNAcentral lists this transfer RNA (72 nucleotides) under Fukomys damarensis (Damara mole-rat). It matches the Rfam family "tRNA". From Rfam's summary of the family: Transfer RNA (tRNA) molecules are approximately 80 nucleotides in length. Their secondary structure includes four short double-helical elements and three loops (D, anti-codon, and T loops). Lineage: Eukaryota; Metazoa; Chordata; Mammalia; Rodentia; Bathyergidae. The record is from Rfam by way of RNAcentral.